This 21-nucleotide unclassified non-coding RNA is filed under the name Mus musculus (house mouse). Its description in RNAcentral is "oocyte_clustered_small_RNA4468". Lineage: Eukaryota; Metazoa; Chordata; Mammalia; Rodentia; Muridae. The record is from RNAcentral.
GCCAUCUAUGUCCUUUGUUGA